AACGAACGCUGGCGGCAUGCCUAAUACAUGCAAGUCGAACGAGUGGCGCACGGGUGCGUAACGCGUGGGAAUCUGCACUUAGGUUCGGAAUAACACCUGGAAACGGCUGCUAAUUACGGACGCCUGAGGAGGAGCCCGCGUUGGAUUAGGAAGUGGGUGGGGUAAAGGCCUACCAAGCCGACGAUCCAUAGCUGGUGUGAGAGGAUGAUCAGACACACUGGGACUGAGAGACGGCCCAGACUCCUACGGGAGGCAGCAGUGGGGAAUAUUGGACAAUGGGCGAGAGCCUGAUCCUGCAAUGCCGCGUGGGUGAUGAAGGCCCUAGGGUUGUAAAGCGCUGUUGCCCGGGUAGCUGUACCGGGAGAGUAAGCCCCGGCUAACUCCGUGCCAGCAGCCGCGGUAAUAC
RNAcentral lists this ribosomal RNA (406 nucleotides) under uncultured bacterium. Its description in RNAcentral is "partial 16S ribosomal RNA". It matches the Rfam family "Bacterial small subunit ribosomal RNA", at positions 29 to 526 of the family's 1533-position model. The record is from RNAcentral.